UACGUAGGUGGCAAGCGUUGUCCGGAUUUACUGGGCGUAAAGAGCGCGCAGGCGGUCGUUCAAGUCGCGUGUGAAAGCCCCCGGCUCAACUGGGGAGGGUCACGCGAUACUGAUCGACUCGAAGGCAGGAGAGGGAAGUGGAAUUCCCGGUGUAGUGGUGAAAUGCGUAGAGAUCGGGAAGAACACCCGUGGCGAAGGCGGCCGGCUGGGCCGGAUCCGACGCUGAGAUACGAAAGCGUGGGGAGCAAACAGG
RNAcentral lists this ribosomal RNA (253 nucleotides) under uncultured bacterium. Its description in RNAcentral is "partial 16S ribosomal RNA". It matches the Rfam family "Bacterial small subunit ribosomal RNA", at positions 524 to 776 of the family's 1533-position model. The record is from RNAcentral.